AGUCGAGCGAGCUUGCCUAGAUGAUUUUAGUGCUUGCACUAAAUGAAACUAGAUACAAGCGAGCGGCGGACGGGUGAGUAACACGUGGGUAACCUGCCCAAGAGACUGGGAUAACACCUGGAAACAGAUGCUAAUACCGGAUAACAACACUAGACGCAUGUCUAGAGUUUGAAAGAUGGUUCUGCUAUCACUCUUGGAUGGACCUGCGGUGCAUUAGCUAGUUGGUAAGGUAACGGCUUACCAAGGCAAUGAUGCAUAGCCGAGUUGAGAGACUGAUCGGCCACAUUGGGACUGAGACACGGCCCAAACUCCUACGGGAGGCAGCAGUAGGGAAUCUUCCACAAUGGACGAAAGUCUGAUGGAGCAACGCCACGUGAGUGAAGAAGGGUUUCGGCUCGUAAAGCUCUGUUGGUAGUGAAGAAAGAUAGAGGUAGUAACUGGCCUUUAUUUGACGGUAAUUACUUAGAAAGUCACGGCUAACUACGUGCCAGCAGCCGCGGUAAUACGUAGGUGGCAAGCGUUGUCCGGAUUUAUUGGGCGUAAAGCGAGUGCAGGCGGUUCAAUAAGUCUGAUGUGAAAGCCUUCGGCUCAACCGGAGAAUUGCAUCAGAAACUGUUGAACUUGAGUGCAGAAGAGGAGAGUGGAACUCCAUGUGUAGCGGUGGAAUGCGUAGAUAUAUGGAAGAACACCAGUGGCGAAGGCGGCUCUCUGGUCUGCAACUGACGCUGAGGCUCGAAAGCAUGGGUAGCGAACAGGAUUAGAUACCCUGGUAGUCCAUGCCCUAAACGAUGAGUGCUAAGUGUUGGGAGGUUUC
RNAcentral lists this ribosomal RNA (814 nucleotides) under uncultured bacterium. RNAcentral's name for it is "bacterial SSU rRNA". It matches the Rfam family "Bacterial small subunit ribosomal RNA", at positions 60 to 834 of the family's 1533-position model. The record is from RNAcentral.